UAGGGAAUCUUCGGCAAUGGGGGCAACCCUGACCGAGCAACGCCGCGUGAGUGAAGAAGGUCUUCGGAUCGUAAAGCUCUGUUGUAGGAGAAGAACGUGUGUGAGAGUGGAAAGUUCACACAGUGACGGUAACUUACCAGAAAGGGACGGCUAACUACGUGCCAG
This 165-nucleotide ribosomal RNA is filed under the name uncultured bacterium. RNAcentral's name for it is "partial 16S rRNA". It matches the Rfam family "Bacterial small subunit ribosomal RNA", at positions 355 to 511 of the family's 1533-position model. The record is from RNAcentral.